AUUGUAAACAGCUCUAGGAGCACUUAUUUUGCAAAAAUAAGAGUAGAAAUUAUUUCUUUUACAAUU
Molecule: transfer RNA, 66 nt
Filed under: Rhabdosynochus viridisi
Lineage: Eukaryota; Metazoa; Platyhelminthes; Monogenea; Dactylogyridea; Diplectanidae
Description: tRNA-Cys
Source: RNAcentral